This is a long non-coding RNA of Vitis vinifera (wine grape), 849 nucleotides long. RefSeq lists it as uncharacterized. The record is from RefSeq and is a predicted model, not a curated record. The transcript is spliced from 2 exons. NCBI's taxonomy places the organism in Eukaryota, Viridiplantae, Streptophyta, Magnoliopsida, Vitales, Vitaceae.
CCAGUUACAUUUCAUAGAAUGUGAUUGUGGAGCUAGACAAGUUCUUAAGUUUAAGGAAGUGAUGUGCAUAUGAUGAUCUCUUCUUCACUAAAAUCCAAAGCCAUUGGUGGCUAAGAUGCUGCAAAGAAUGGCCCAACAAGUUUGUUGUAUGUUAAAAGAUAGGAUGCCAAAGGUAGAAAUAUUUUCCCAUUGAGACUAUCCUUGUGUCCACAUUAUCCAAAAAUGCAGCUGGAGAACAAGGCCUUCAGAACCCAGACAUGACGCCACCUUAACAGAGUCUUGCAAAGGCCUCGUGUAAGCCCUUUAGCCACCUUACCAUAUGGCCCUGUUUGAUCUUUCUCAUGCUGUUAACCCUAGCGAGCUCGGGUCGUGGAUCGGCAUGGUUUGGAUAUGCCAUGUUCAGUGCCACAAGUGGGUGAAAUUUUGAUAUGCUGAAUCAAUAGUUUUGUGGCUUGUGUUUAUUCAACUGUGAGAAUCAUAUCAUCUAUUGAGAGAUGUGAGAGAUAUAGCUUUUGGGGGAGAACAUGGGCGGCUAACAUCGUUGUUACAGUGCAUGUGGGCUUCCUAGAUUUUUGAGUGGAAAGGGCUGGAAUUAAUAGUUCAUCCAAGUACGGUAUCAGUCAGUUUCUACCCCUCAUGGAUCCCAUUGCUGACAUGGCACGUGUGGAGAAUUCGUCCAUCUGGCUCUUCCUUACUUGGAUGGCUGUUGACAUGGAUUUGUUUGUAAUGGUUGCUUGUCAUACAUUUGGAAUCUGGAAAGUGCUUAUGCCUGCACUAAGAGUCGACACAUUAAUGGUCAAUGAUAUGUAGUUGAUGUUAGUAAUAUCAAAACUUAAUUUGUAUGAGCCA